This 617-nucleotide small RNA is filed under the name Arabidopsis thaliana (thale cress). Its description in RNAcentral is "ATSL033150". The record is from RNAcentral. Lineage: Eukaryota; Viridiplantae; Streptophyta; Magnoliopsida; Brassicales; Brassicaceae.
UUUUUUGUUUGGAGACCCGCUAUCUACGUACAAAUUUCCCGUUUUCUUUUUUUUGGGUAUUUUUAAGGUCUGAAACUUUUUAUCCAAACUGACCCAAACCCAAUUGGAUCCGACCCGAACCAGAACCAAAUAUUUAGAAUUAUUCUAUUGGGUAGUAAAUCAUAUACCCAUUAAUCCCAAACCUGAACGGGUUCUACCCGAACUCGAAUGGGUUACUCAUAUGCCCAACCCUAUUCUCUGAUUUAAUUAUCUAAAAACUCCCAAAAAAACAUAUGUUUUGCUGACUACUUUUUAUUCAAAAAAAUUUACAUCAUCUUCUGCCAAAAUCAUUUCAUUAGACAUCCCAAAACCCUUGGAAUAAUGAUUCCAUGAAUGAAGAAUCCUAAUUUGAAUAUACCAAGAGGUUUUAAAAGGUUUUAAGUUUUUUAUAGGUGUGUAUGUGAGAAGGUACAUACAUGAAUGAAGAAUCCUAAUUUGAAUAUACCAAGAGGUUUUAAAAGGUUUUAAGUUUUUUAUAGGUGUGUAUGUGAGAAGGUACAUACAUCGUGAUGGUAAUCUGUUUAUUUAUAAUUUUAACUUGCAGUAUACCGCAGGUAAGCUUAUAUUUUAGUUAAAUU